UACGUAGGGGGCAAGCGUUGUCCGGAUUUACUGGGCGUAAAGAGCGUGUAGGCGGCCAUGUAGGUCCGGUGUGAAAACUCGAGGCUUAACCUCGAGAUGUCAUCGGAAACCAUUUGGCUAGAGUCCGGAAGAGGAGAGUGGAAUUCCUGGUGUAGCGGUGAAAUGCGCAGAUAUCAGGAAGAACACCAAUGGCGAAAGCAGCUCUCUGGGACGGUACUGACGCUGAGACGCGAAAGCGUGGGGAGCGAACAGG
Molecule: ribosomal RNA, 253 nt
Filed under: uncultured bacterium
Lineage: Bacteria
Description: partial 16S ribosomal RNA
Rfam family: Bacterial small subunit ribosomal RNA
Source: RNAcentral